CCUACGGGAGGCUGCAGUGAGGAAUAUUGGUCAAUGGGCGAAAGCCUGAACCAGCCAAGUAGCGUGCGGGAUGAAGGCCCUACGGGUCGUAAACCGCUUUUGCACGGGGAUAACACCCUCCACUUGUGGAGGUCUGCAGGUACCGUGCGAAUAAGGGCCGGCUAAUGCCGGGCCAGCAGCCGCGGUAAUACGGAAGGCCCGAGCGUUAUCCGGAUUCCAUGGGCUUAAAGGGAGCGUAGGCGGGGCGUUAAGUCAGCUUUUAAAUCCGGCGGCCCAACCGGGGCACGGCAUUUGAAACUGGAAGCCUUGAGUGCAGAAGAGGCAGGCGGAAUUCGUGGUGUAGCGGUGAAAUGCAUAGAUAUCACGAGGAACCCUGAUUGCGAAGGCAGCCUGCCGGAGUGCGACUGACGCUGAGGCUCGAAGGUGCGGGUAUCAAACAGGAUUAGAUACCCCUGUAGUC
RNAcentral lists this ribosomal RNA (460 nucleotides) under uncultured bacterium. Its description in RNAcentral is "partial 16S ribosomal RNA". It matches the Rfam family "Bacterial small subunit ribosomal RNA", at positions 338 to 795 of the family's 1533-position model. The record is from RNAcentral.